GAUGAACGCUGGCGGCAUGCCUAAUACAUGCAAGUCGAACGAGAGGAAGGAAAGCUUGCUUUUCUGAAUCUAGUGGCGAACGGGUGAGUAACACGUAGGUAACCUGCCCAUAUGCCCGGGAUAACUUCUGGAAACGGAUGCUAAAACCGGAUAGGUAGCAGACAAGCAUUUGACUGCUAUUAAAGUGGCUAAGGCCAUGAACAUGGAUGGACCUGCGGUGCAUUAGCUAGUUGGUGAGGUAACGGCCCACCAAGGCGACGAUGCAUAGCCGGCCUGAGAGGGCGGACGGCCACAUUGGGACUGAGACACGGCCCAAACUCCUACGGGAGGCAGCAGUAGGGAAUUUUCGUCAAUGGGGGGAACCCUGAACGAGCAAUGCCGCGUGAGUGAGGAAGGUCUUCGGAUCGUAAAGCUCUGUUGUAAGAGGAAAACGACAUUCAUAGGGAAUGAUGAGUGAGUGAUGGUAUCUUACCAGAAAGUCACGGCUAACUACGUGCCAGCCGCCGCGGUAA
RNAcentral lists this ribosomal RNA (512 nucleotides) under uncultured bacterium. RNAcentral describes it as "partial 16S ribosomal RNA". It matches the Rfam family "Bacterial small subunit ribosomal RNA", at positions 28 to 523 of the family's 1533-position model. The record is from RNAcentral.